This 338-nucleotide long non-coding RNA is filed under the name Brassica rapa (field mustard). RNAcentral describes it as "long non-coding RNA (BRAP_LNC002717)". The record is from RNAcentral. Lineage: Eukaryota; Viridiplantae; Streptophyta; Magnoliopsida; Brassicales; Brassicaceae.
UUUUUUUUUUUUGUGAUAAAGCAGGAGCCCAACUGCCCAACACACUGUUGGUAUGAACAAUUUUCAUGAAAAAGCUAACUUGUUUUGAUGAAAUCACUUUAACUCAUAGGCUUGGUCCUUUGAUUAACAAUGCUUGUGGGACACUCCCGUCGAGGAGCUCACAUCAUGAGUAGUCAAUAUUAGCUCCUAACUUAAAUUUUGAAUACUGGGAUACCAGAUCCUAUUAAUAAUCUUAUACUAAGGAAAAAGCUAUCUAACAAAUAAAUUGUCGAAAAGAAUACAUCACCAAGACAUACAUUGCUUAUAUGACUUUUGGAGUAAACGACCAUACACGUACG